This is a long non-coding RNA of Micropterus dolomieu (smallmouth bass), 2120 nucleotides long. RefSeq lists it as uncharacterized. NCBI's taxonomy places the organism in Eukaryota, Metazoa, Chordata, Actinopteri, Centrarchiformes, Centrarchidae. The transcript has 4 exons. The record is from RefSeq and is a predicted model, not a curated record.
AAAAAUUCCAGAUCAGGAGAACAGUGCUGGUGAAUCACUGUCACGUCAGUACACCAGCCAUUGUUAAUAUAAAAACAGAUACCUCCACCUUUUGUUUUGCCAGAAAACACUGUCGCCGUCCACUCUGUUGAGUUGGAAUCCAGCCAGCUGCAGCGUGAGUCCAGUAUUGAUCCACACAGCCACGUCUCCGUGAAGCACAGAACAGAAGAUGAAUAAAAGUCUCUGUUUUUCCCCAGCAGUAGCUGAAGUUUGUCUAGUUUGUUGCACAGUGGGCGCACGUUGGAGAGAAAUAAUGACUGUAGCGGUGUGCGGAGUCCUCGCUGUUGGAAACGCACGAAUGACCCGGCAAAUUUACCUCAGCUCGUUUAUAAAUCUGCUGGUGUUGUUCCCCUGAUGUUCAUGAGCUCAUCUCUGGUGAAAGAGCUCCGGGAAUUACAGCCAAAAACGAUGUUAAGCCACACAAAAACAAAACAAACGCAUGAUUGCAGUUGUUGCUGCUAAGCGUGGCCCAACCAGUUAUUAGGUUUAAAUCACUUUUCACACAGGGCCAUGUAGGUUUGUUUUUUUCCCCCCCUUUAAAGGAGACCUAUCAAACUGCUUUUCCAGACCUAUAUUAUAGUUCUGUGACUCCUGUAUGGCAGCUUUGCAUGAUUCAAAGAUCAAACUAUUGCACCAUCAACUGACCCCGCCCUUACCCAUGCGUGGGGAGGUGCCACUCCUGUCGCCUAGCAACCUUCACAGCUACGGUCCACUGGCAUGGAGACUAAUAUUUUAAUUUUAAUAUUUUACCACUUAAUAGAGGAACUAGAGGUACUUCACCCCCGGCGCCCCCGCAUGAUGUAUCUCAGGCUGAGAGAGGACCCUGGCCAGCCCCGGCCCCUGUACUGCAGGAUAAAUUUGAGUGUGCCUGUGCUGGACAGGGUUUUUUAGCCAGCAGGACACACGGCUGGAUUUCCGGUUGAGCAGGGAGGCCCUGGGAGUGCGACUGAGACACAGAUGGGGUGCCACGAUUGAGACCCUGGUGUUUCUCUUCUGGCUGGCAAGUAGGGCAUCGUACAGGGUGGUCUCCAGAGUGUUUGCAAUGCCUCGAUCCACUGUCCACCGCUUCGUCCACAGAGUCACUGAGGAGGUGGUGGCCAUUUGCCACAAGGUCAUACACCUACCGAAGACCCAGGUUGAGUUACAACUGAUAUCCCGUGUGUUUGCUGGGCUGGUAGGACACAGAGCCUUUUUUAAAGCAGCUGGAGAAAUCGACGGCUGCCAUGUCCGCAUCAAGCCACCGAGCGGCCCUGAUGGUCAGUGCUACAGGAAAAGGAAACUGUUUCCAUCCAUCAUCCUGCAGGCUGUCUGUGACCAUCAGGGCCGCUUCAUUGACACCUACGUGGGCCGGCCUGGGUCGGUCCACGACUCCAGAGUGCUCCGCUACAGCCCACUGUACAGGAGUUCACUCUACCCUCCUCCAGGGCAUUUCAUCCUUGCAGACGGAGGGUACCCGUGCCUCCAACACCCACUCCCCCCCCUCAUCACUCCCUACAAGAGGCCAAUACAAGGUGUGGGAGCCCAGCGCUUCAACAGCCAUCACUCCAGGGCACGCUCCAUUAUAGAGCGUGACCAUAGAGCGUGAAGACCAGGUUCCGGGCCAUCUUCCUGCAAUCGCCUCCAGCGCACCACACCUUUGUACUUCGAGUCAUAACAGCAUGAGCCAUCCUCCACAACAUCUGCCUUGGGGCUGGUGACAUUGUGGCCCCAGAGGAGGAGCAUGAGGAGGACGAGGCAGAGGAUGAGGGGGAGAACGGUUUGGAGACGGUCAGCGGUGUUUCCUGGCGUGACCAGCUGUCUGCAGAGGUGUCUGCCCUGGAGGAGGUGCCCCCUGACCAGCAAUAUUUUUAACAAGCAAAACAUCUUAGUGACAUGGCAGCCGUCGAUUGAACCAGCCCUGCAAACCCACUGAUGGACGACGCGGUGGACAGUGGAGAGACACCUGCAACACACUCUGGAGACCACCCCAGAUGAUGUCCUGCUGACCAGGGUCUUUAUUGUGGCAGCCCAUCCAGGUCCAGCAGCAUCACCAGGGUUUCCCUGCUCAGCAGAAUAAAUGUUGUAAAUGUGAAAAAUAUAUA